CCCGCUUCCUGGACGCUUCCUGCUUCACUUCCGUCACGAAGACGCACGGAAUCUUCUGCUGAACGGAGCCCAGGCGGCGCAUUUUGAGUGAAAUAUCGGCUCGAACCCAACCGAUUUGUAAAAAAACCGCUCAUGAGCACCACUAUGCGGUGCGGCCGUGGGGAUGCUCUGAUGAUUUAAAACGGUCCGUCUCGCUGUCGCCGUGCUUCCACAUCUCCGUCUCCGUGUCGUCCCUCAGCGUCCCCCGGGUCCAAUACGUGAACACGUCCCUGGUCCAGAAGCAGAGAGGCAAGAAGUUCACACACGUUCUCUGCCCCCUGGG
Pungitius pungitius (ninespine stickleback) is the source of this 322-nucleotide long non-coding RNA. RefSeq lists it as uncharacterized. Lineage: Eukaryota; Metazoa; Chordata; Actinopteri; Perciformes; Gasterosteidae. The transcript has 3 exons. The record is from RefSeq and is a predicted model, not a curated record.